GACGAACCGUGCGAACGUUGUUCGGAAUCACUGGGCUUAAAGGGCGCGUAGGCGGCCUGCCAAGUCAGGGGUGAAAGCCCCCAGCUCAACUGGGGAAGUGCCUUUGAUACUGGCGGGCUCGAGUCGAGGCAGGGGUCGUGGGAACUUCCGGUGGAGCGGUGAAAUGCGUUGAUAUCGGAAGGAACGCCGGUGGCGAAAGCGCACGACUGGUCCUCUCCUGACGCUGAGGCGCGAAAGCCAGGGGAGCAAACGGG
This 254-nucleotide ribosomal RNA is filed under the name uncultured bacterium. RNAcentral describes it as "partial 16S ribosomal RNA". It matches the Rfam family "Bacterial small subunit ribosomal RNA", at positions 524 to 776 of the family's 1533-position model. The record is from RNAcentral.